This 1148-nucleotide ribosomal RNA is filed under the name Escherichia coli. Its description in RNAcentral is "partial 23S ribosomal RNA". It matches the Rfam family "Bacterial large subunit ribosomal RNA", at positions 614 to 1764 of the family's 2925-position model. The record is from RNAcentral. Lineage: Bacteria; Pseudomonadati; Pseudomonadota; Gammaproteobacteria; Enterobacterales; Enterobacteriaceae.
AAUGGGUCAGCGACUUAUAUUCUGUAGCAAGGUUAACCGAAUAGGGGAGCCGAAGGGAAACCGAGUCUUAACUGGGCGUUAAGUUGCAGGGUAUAGACCCGAAACCCGGUGAUCUAGCCAUGGGCAGGUUGAAGGUUGGGUAACACUAACUGGAGGACCGAACCGACUAAUGUUGAAAAAUUAGCGGAUGACUUGUGGCUGGGGGUGAAAGGCCAAUCAAACCGGGAGAUAGCUGGUUCUCCCCGAAAGCUAUUUAGGUAGCGCCUCGUGAAUUCAUCUCCGGGGGUAGAGCACUGUUUCGGCAAGGGGGUCAUCCCGACUUACCAACCCGAUGCAAACUGCGAAUACCGGAGAAUGUUAUCACGGGAGACACACGGCGGGUGCUAACGUCCGUCGUGAAGAGGGAAACAACCCAGACCGCCAGCUAAGGUCCCAAAGUCAUGGUUAAGUGGGAAACGAUGUGGGAAGGCCCAGACAGCCAGGAUGUUGGCUUAGAAGCAGCCAUCAUUUAAAGAAAGCGUAAUAGCUCACUGGUCGAGUCGGCCUGCGCGGAAGAUGUAACGGGGCUAAACCAUGCACCGAAGCUGCGGCAGCGACGCUUAGGCGUUGUUGGGUAGGGGAGCGUUCUGUAAGCCUGCGAAGGUGUACUGUGAGGUAUGCUGGAGGUAUCAGAAGUGCGAAUGCUGACAUAAGUAACGAUAAAGCGGGUGAAAAGCCCGCUCGCCGGAAGACCAAGGGUUCCUGUCCAACGUUAAUCGGGGCAGGGUGAGUCGACCCCUAAGGCGAGGCCGAAAGGCGUAGUCGAUGGGAAACAGGUUAAUAUUCCUGUACUUGGUGUUACUGCGAAGGGGGGACGGAGAAGGCUAUGUUGGCCGGGCGACGGUUGUCCCGGUUUAAGCGUGUAGGCUGGUUUUCCAGGCAAAUCCGGAAAAUCAAGGCUGAGGCGUGAUGACGAGGCACUACGGUGCUGAAGCAACAAAUGCCCUGCUUCCAGGAAAAGCCUCUAAGCAUCAGGUAACAUCAAAUCGUACCCCAAACCGACACAGGUGGUCAGGUAGAGAAUACCAAGGCGCUUGAGAGAACUCGGGUGAAGGAACUAGGCAAAAUGGUGCCGUAACUUCGGGAGAAGGCACGCUGAUAUGUAGGUG